CACCUUAGAGACCAACUAAGUUUGUUCUUGGUAUAAGAUUUCGUUUCUGAAGAAGUGUGCAUGCACACGAAAGCUUAUACCAAGAACAAACUUAGUUGAUCUUUAAGGUG
Molecule: non-coding RNA, 110 nt
Organism: Podarcis lilfordi (Lilford's wall lizard)
Lineage: Eukaryota; Metazoa; Chordata; Lepidosauria; Squamata; Lacertidae
Source: the annotation of a GenBank genome assembly